GGUCACAUAUUGAAUAGUGAGCUCAAAGAUGACCAUAAAUAAACAAUGUGUAAAAAGAAAAUGUACGAAAUUUCAAUUUUGUUCCUUUAUUAAUAUUCUUGAUUUUAUUUACAAACUAUAGUAGUGACUAGUGCACUCAAAGAUAACCAUACAUAAACCAUGUGUAAAAAGAAAAUGUACACAUAGAAAUUUCAACCAAAAAAAAUCUCCUUUAUUAAUAGAAAAAAAAAGCAUUCGAUCGAGAUAUUCCCGUUCUAUGUGUGUGCAAAGUUUCAACGUAGAGGACAGUACGCAAGUACGUAAUUUGAAAAUUACCCGUUAUUUUUUUUCCCCACUUACUGUGCGCAUCGGACUUUUGCUGAUUUUCCUUCAUCAAACGUCUCCAAAUCACACCAAAAUGUCUUCCAGCAAUUAUUCUAGCGAUGAAAUUUCAUCAAGAGAUAGUGACUCCUCAUACUCCGAUGCCUCCUUAUCCCAUUUUAGUGAUUCUUCCCAAGAAAAUGAGCCCGACAAAUGUUCAAAAUAUUACUAGUCCCACUCGUAGAGAAAUGAGUUUGUUGUCGAAUGACGGAACAUCGACGAGCGGAACUGGCCCCAGAAAACAGCUGAAAAGGAAUCAGAAAACACAACCUGCUAAAGCACCACGCAAGAAGAAGAGCAAGUCUUCCAAGUCCGAGAGUGCAUGUGUCUGCGAGAUCCAUUGAAACUAAUCAAGCUACAAUGUACAUGUAAAGUACAACCACCAUUCGAUGCCUGUGAACAGCAUGACCAACAUCUGUAUCCUUUACAUUAGUAUUUGUUUCCAUUUUAUUAUGUAAUUAUUAUGUCUAAUCAUUGAGAUUCAUAGGCAAGUACAACAUGUAUGUGUACACAAUGAGUGCCUGCAUAUUGUGAAGAUAAAGGACCAUAAGACCAUUACUUAUGAUACAUGGUAAUGAUGGUAGGCCUAUACUUUGUAAAACUAUUUGAAAAUAGUAGCAUGUAAGUCUGUCAUUUUCUUGUUUAUAUAUAUCUCAAUGACAUGACAUGUCAUUGAUUUUGUAGUAAGUGUUUCUAGAUUAUGAUGAUUGUAUUAAGAUUUUGACAGUUCAAUUGAGAUUGAGAAAAUUAUGUAACAUGUCAACUGUACUAUAGAGCAUGCAUGCAUUGUUGAAAAAUCUGUUUUAUGAUUUAUUUUAUUUUGUUAUCUUUGUAAAUAACGAGAAAAAAAAAAUUAUUUGUCAUGAUUUUCUUGAGGUUUGAAAAUGUGAUUACAUUAUUAAGAGCACUUUGCAAUUAAAUUGUAAUAAAAGAGACAGAAAACAACACUCUCAUGUCCAGAAUACUGCUUUAUUUGGUUACUAGUGAGGGAGAGAGCUUGUGAUCGCCUGGCAUAUCCACAUCGGCUCAGUAAUAGUCCUGAAACUCACCUGAAUACUUUAUUUGAACAAAAAUAGAAAGCUACAUUCUAGGUGGAUGAUAUUUUUUUAAGGCGGAGGCAUAUAGGAGACGCAGUCGCAUUUGUCUUGUUUUUUUUUUAGAGUAUAAUCAUAGCAAACCAUGAACAACUCUAUUACUACAACAUGUACACUACAGUACUUAACCAAAGAUUGUAAAUAUCAGUUAAGUUCUUUUAUUUAUUUGCUUAUAUGAACACACAUACUAUACUAAACUCAUGUCAUUGUGUUUACCUCUCGAAAAUAAAGUACAUGUAUUUUAUUUGACACAUUCCCUUUUAUUAUUUUUGUUUGUUACAGUCCACUGCCAUUAUAACGAGGUGCUUGGAACCAAGCCAAUUUCCUUGUUAAAAUGAAAUCAUGUUAUACUCAAGUUACUGAACACAUUGGUUUGUUUAAAAUUGGGACUGAUGAGAAUUGCCUGAUAAUAAAAUCUUGGUGUAUCCAUGUUCGUUAUAAUAGGAGUGGACUGUAUAACAUUUUCCAUAUACCCAUUGACUAUUU
RNAcentral lists this long non-coding RNA (1940 nucleotides) under Strongylocentrotus purpuratus (purple sea urchin). RNAcentral describes it as "uncharacterized LOC115929574". The record is from RNAcentral. Lineage: Eukaryota; Metazoa; Echinodermata; Echinoidea; Camarodonta; Strongylocentrotidae.